This 261-nucleotide ribosomal RNA is filed under the name uncultured archaeon. Its description in RNAcentral is "partial 16S ribosomal RNA". It matches the Rfam family "Archaeal small subunit ribosomal RNA", at positions 748 to 1009 of the family's 1478-position model. The record is from RNAcentral.
CAGCCGUAAACUAUGCUCGCUAGGUGUCAGGGACGGUGCGACCGUUUCUGGUGCCGCAGGGAAGCCGUGAAGCGAGCCACCUGGGAAGUACGGUCGCAAGGCUGAAACUUAAAGGAAUUGGCGGGGGAGCACUACAACGGGUGGAGCCUGCGGUUUAAUUGGAUUCAACGCCGGAAAUCUUACCGGGACCGACAGCAACAUGAAGGCCAGGCUGAAGACUUUGCCGGAUUAGCUGAGAGGAGGUGCAUGGCGUAGUCGUGU